AGUGGGAGGGAGGCUGCUUCUGGGUCACCUCCCCUGGGCUGGUGCCCUCUGCCAAGGGGCUCUGGCAGAACCACUCCAAGGGGCAUUUAGAAGGAUGGACGCUCUCCCCCAGACCCCCAACUACUGAGCCAGCAGGAAGCAGAGAGGUUCAGCUGUAGCCCGCAGACCUUGGAGUCUUGGCUGAGGGCUGCUCUGAGGGGGCACAGAACAGGGCAGCCCCUGGGCCCCAGGCAGCAGCGCCUAGAGGCCUGGGCGGCAGGAAAGGGAAAGGUGACGUCAUUGCCGCCUGGAAUCUGCUGUUUGGAGGCGUCGCCAUGGAGACCGGAAGGCUCAGGGAUCCUGAACCAGGACGUGUGCUUGCUCCAAGAGAGGCUGGCUCUGGUGGGACUGGAUCCCAAGACCUAUGGAUGCCUCCCUCUCCUUCCUUCUCUUAUGGUAUCUCAACCCCACCUGGGGCUCCUCCUUUGCCUCUCUGGAGCAUGUGAAACGUCACCUUCCUCCUAUAGCAGGCCUAAACACUAGGAUGUCAAGGACCAGAGGUUGCCCAAGGAUACUGCUGAAAGUGGGAGGAUGCAGGAGCUGGGCUCGUGCUGACUGAGGUGGUCAGCAGCUGUAAGACUAUCCCUGCCGCAGCACAUUGAGCUCACCCUCUAACUCCCACAUAUCACAAGUACAGUAUAACCCACAGGUGUGACCCUAUGACAAGCCUUCUGUUCUCGCUUCCUGUGUGUUAAAGGCAGGUCAGGACUUCCUGUGGAUGCUGGGACCCAUAGAAUGAUUAUCCAAGGGGAUGCAGGCACAUACCUAAGACCACCCUGAACAAGUGACCCUGUUCGGGCCAUGUGCCUGACCCUCCAGAAAUUCCCAUUGUGGGGGAAGUUCCUCCCACCUAGAAUGGUCUAGAAAGAAACAACAGAGAAGAUCAACAAAACCAAAAGCAUCUUUUUUAGGAAAGUAAGAAAUUCAGGUUUACACAAAGAAAAAAAUUUAAAAUACCUAUGGCUCCUGCAAAACACACUUUCUUGGUUUUUUUGUAUGUAAGAUAAAAGCUGUAGCAUUUCGAAGUAGCAGACUGGUGUUAUUCGCAGUGUUAGAAUGCUGUUUAACAUUCAACACCUUGAGUUUGAUUCCUAGCACCACACAGACACAUAAAAUCAAAGUACAGUGUCAGUUUUGUCCAGAAACAUUAAUAAUGAUUGAUUCAGUUUAAAACAUUUUAUGGAGGCUAGAGAGUUAGCUAAACGGUUAAGAGCAUUUGUUGCUGUUGCAGAGGAGCUGGGUUCUAGUGUGAGCACCCAUAAGGCAGCUCACAAUUGUCUGUUAACUCCAGUCCCAGGGGAUCUGACUCCUAAUUCUGAAUUUAGCAGGCACCAGGCAUGCACAUGAUGCACACACAUACAUGCAGGCAAAACACUCUAAACACAAAAUAAUACAAUAAAUACAUCUACAUUUUUUUUUUUUUAUUUUUCGAGACAGGGUUUCUCUGUGUAGUUUUGGUGCCUGUCCUGGAUCUUGCUCUGUAGACCAGGCUGGCCUCAAACUCACAGAGAUCCGCCUGCCUCUGCCUCCCAAGUGCUGGGUUUAAAGGUGUGCACCACCACCACCACCACCACCACCACCACCACCACCACCACCACCCAGCUUCCUUGCACAUUUUUUGCAGAAUGUUUAAACAGCACAUUUUUUUUCUGGCAUAUUUAUUUUUUGUAUUUGUGCUUGGACUGAGAAGGGGACCUUGUACUGUCUUGGUUGAGCUGUAGCACAAGCUCUGGUGUCCUGUCUGUUUCCACAGGGCUCACUAGAGGACUUUGUCUAGCCUCUCUAUCCUGUUUUAUAGUUCAUACUCAGCAGACGUGGAGAGCUCAGCCUGCCUCAUCCAACACUCUUAAUAAUGAAGUUUGUACUCUGUACUCAGACUUACGUAGAUGCUGCAAGAGUAGCAGGUGUUCAUCACUCCUGACAGUCAGCGGCCAGCAUGGCGUUUCACCACACCCAAGGACAGUUUUUGUAAUACCCUAACAGGGCUAUCCAAAGCAGGCCAUGUCGGUCUGAGACCUAAUCCAGGCUCCUUGGUUGUCCUAGUAAUGUCUCUUGUUGGGACAAGAUAGAUCAGCCUGGUCAGGAGCACGUGCUAGACUGAUCUCUCUCUCUCUCUCUCUCUCUCUCUCUCUCUCUCUCUC
Peromyscus californicus insignis is the source of this 2180-nucleotide long non-coding RNA. RefSeq lists it as uncharacterized. The transcript is spliced from 3 exons. NCBI's taxonomy places the organism in Eukaryota, Metazoa, Chordata, Mammalia, Rodentia, Cricetidae. The record is from RefSeq and is a predicted model, not a curated record.